Molecule: non-coding RNA, 100 nt
Filed under: Actinomadura madurae
Lineage: Bacteria; Bacillati; Actinomycetota; Actinomycetes; Streptosporangiales; Thermomonosporaceae
Description: Bacterial small subunit ribosomal RNA
Rfam family: Bacterial small subunit ribosomal RNA
Source: Rfam by way of RNAcentral
UUAAUGGAGAGUUUGAUCCUGGCUCAGGACGAACGCUGGCGGCGUGCUUAACACAUGCAAGUCGAGCGGAAAGGCCCCUUCGGGGGUACUCGAGCGGCGA